CCUUUCAAGGAGUUUCAGAAUACAGAAUGAGUCUAUGAGUAGAUAAGUACAGACCAACCAACCUUAAUAAACUCCAUUAUCAUCAGGAGCAAGCUGCCAGCUUGAAAAGACUGGUCCAGUCUGAUGAUUUCCCUCAUUUGCUGAUUUAUGGCCCGUCGGGUGCAGGAAAGAAAACAAGAAUGGUUUGUAUACUUCGUGAGUUGUACGGGGCCGGAGUGGAGAAACUACGUAUUGAGCACAUGGAGUUUAUAGUAAUUGAUUAAUAAUGGGGCGGGGUUGUUAUAAUUACACACCAGCUGUUAUUAAAAUUUUGAUUCUGUGUACUAUUGAAUACUA
Molecule: long non-coding RNA, 336 nt
Organism: Amphimedon queenslandica
Lineage: Eukaryota; Metazoa; Porifera; Demospongiae; Haplosclerida; Niphatidae
Exons: 2
Source: RefSeq, a predicted model, not a curated record